Molecule: ribosomal RNA, 585 nt
Filed under: Salmonella enterica
Lineage: Bacteria; Pseudomonadati; Pseudomonadota; Gammaproteobacteria; Enterobacterales; Enterobacteriaceae
Also listed under: 4 other names
Description: partial 23S ribosomal RNA
Rfam family: Bacterial large subunit ribosomal RNA
Source: RNAcentral
GUGCAAUGGCAUAAGCCAGCUUGACUGCGAGCGUGACGGCGCGAGCAGGUGCGAAAGCAGGUCAUAGUGAUCCGGUGGUUCUGAAUGGAAGGGCCAUCGCUCAACGGAUAAAAGGUACUCCGGGGAUAACAGGCUGAUACCGCCCAAGAGUUCAUAUCGACGGCGGUGUUUGGCACCUCGAUGUCGGCUCAUCACAUCCUGGGGCUGAAGUAGGUCCCAAGGGUAUGGCUGUUCGCCAUUUAAAGUGGUACGCGAGCUGGGUUUAGAACGUCGUGAGACAGUUCGGUCCCUAUCUGCCGUGGGCGCUGGAGAACUGAGGGGGGCUGCUCCUAGUACGAGAGGACCGGAGUGGACGCAUCACUGGUGUUCGGGUUGUCAUGCCAAUGGCACUGCCCGGUAGCUAAAUGCGGAAGAGAUAAGUGCUGAAAGCAUCUAAGCACGAAACUUGCCCCGAGAUGAGUUCUCCCUGAGACUUAGAGUCUCCUGAAGGAACGUUGAAGACGACGACGUUGAUAGGCCGGGUGUGUAAGCGCAGCGAUGCGUUGAGCUAACCGGUACUAAUGAACCGUGAGGCUUAACCUUACA